Molecule: ribosomal RNA, 484 nt
Filed under: uncultured bacterium
Lineage: Bacteria
Description: partial 16S ribosomal RNA
Rfam family: Bacterial small subunit ribosomal RNA
Source: RNAcentral
AUUGAACGCUGGCGGCAGGCCUAACACAUGCAAGUCGAGCGGAUGAAGGGAGCUUGCUCCUGGAUUCAGCGGCGGACGGGUGAGUAAUGCCUAGGAAUCUGCCUGGUAGUGGGGGAUAACGUCCGGAAACGGGCGCUAAUACCGCAUACGUCCUGAGGGAGAAAGUGGGGGAUCUUCGGACCUCACGCUAUCAGAUGAGCCUAGGUCGGAUUAGCUAGUUGGUGGGGUAAAGGCCUACCAAGGCGACGAUCCGUAACUGGUUUGAGAGGAUGAUCAGUCACACUGGAACUGAGACACGGUCCAGACUCCUACGGGAGGCAGCAGUGGGGAAUAUUGGACAAUGGGCGCAAGCCUGAUCCAGCCAUGCCGCGUGUGUGAAGAAGGUCUUCGGAUUGUAAAGCACUUUAAGUUGGGAGGAAGGGCAGUAAGUUAAUACCUUGCUGUUUUGACGUUACCAACAGAAUAAGCACCGGCUAACUUCGUG